CUGGUAUUACUGGAGCGAUCUAAGAUGGCGGACGAGAAAAGUCUCAGCCUUCAUAGCUACGCCAAAGAUGCUGACAGGAAGCACCAAGAAAAUGAAAACAGAAUGCCAUCAUUUCAUCUUUGGCAUAGCUAUGCUGUUUCUAUUUACAAAAAGAGAAUUCGGUCAUUGCCAACAGGGCGUACACCUAAUUCAAAUGAAAAGAGACUGGCUCUGGGAUCACUGACACAGCAAACAGUAACUGAU
Long non-coding RNA from Haliotis rubra (blacklip abalone), 243 nucleotides. RefSeq lists it as uncharacterized. The transcript is spliced from 3 exons. NCBI's taxonomy places the organism in Eukaryota, Metazoa, Mollusca, Gastropoda, Lepetellida, Haliotidae. The record is from RefSeq and is a predicted model, not a curated record.